CUAGCAGUGAGGAAGGCGGAGCGUUAUAGCGGCNCGUUUGACGUUAGCUGCAGAAGAAGCACCGGCUAACUCCGUGUCAGCAGCCGCGGUAAUACGGAGGGUGCGAGCGUUAAUCGGAAUUACUGGGCGUAAAGCGCAUGCAGGUGGUUUGUUAAGUCAGAUGUGAAAGACCCGGGGCGUCAACCUCGGAAUAGCAUUUGAAACUGGCAGACUAGAGUACUGUAGAGGGGGGUAGGAAGUUUCAGGUGUAGCGGUGAAAUGCGUAGAGAUCUGAAGGAAUACCGGUGGCGAAGGCGGCCCCCUCGGACAGAUACUGACACUCAGAUGCGAAAGCGUGGGGAGCAAACAGGAUUAGAUACCCUGGUAG
RNAcentral lists this ribosomal RNA (367 nucleotides) under uncultured bacterium. RNAcentral describes it as "bacterial SSU rRNA". It matches the Rfam family "Bacterial small subunit ribosomal RNA", at positions 434 to 793 of the family's 1533-position model. The record is from RNAcentral.